GAUGCUGGCAGUGAGACACAGCCCAUCCAGCUCAGCCUUCACCACUACAGAAGUCCUUCUGAGCCUUAGAAGCGUUAAAGUAGGUCUCAUGCUGAUAACAAAGGUUAAGGAAAUAAUCUCUUUCCCUUUGCAGAUAAGGACUUGAAAACUGCCUUUGCAGUGUCUCUCUCCUGUGCCGCACAGAGACAUUUCUGCAGCCUGCGAUUUCUCUUGCUUUAAGCAGUAUUUAUCAAAUGGAAACAUAUGUAUACAGUAGAUUGUACUUGGAAAUGCAGUUCACUUUUACAAUUCUUAUUAACAAGGAUGCUCAUGGGUACACUUCUGAGAAAAAGGAUGAAAUAUCCCACUUUGUCAAGAUGCAAGGUUUUGAACAGAUAAUAUCUCCCAGGCGUCUUUAG
Passer domesticus (house sparrow) is the source of this 398-nucleotide long non-coding RNA. RefSeq lists it as uncharacterized. The record is from RefSeq and is a predicted model, not a curated record. The transcript is spliced from 3 exons. Lineage: Eukaryota; Metazoa; Chordata; Aves; Passeriformes; Passeridae.